Molecule: ribosomal RNA, 586 nt
Filed under: uncultured bacterium
Lineage: Bacteria
Description: partial 16S ribosomal RNA
Rfam family: Bacterial small subunit ribosomal RNA
Source: RNAcentral
UGGGGAAUUUUGGACAAUGGGCGAAAGCCUGAUCCAGCAAUGCCGCGUGUGUGAAGAAGGCCUUCGGGUUGUAAAGCACUUUUGUCCGGAAAGAAAUCCUUGGCUCUAAUACAGUCGGGGGAUGACGGUACCGGAAGAAUAAGCACCGGCUAACUACGUGCCAGCAGCCGCGGUAAUACGUAGGGUGCAAGCGUUAAUCGGAAUUACUGGGCGUAAAGCGUGCGCAGGCGGUUUGCUAAGACCGAUGUGAAAUCCCCGGGCUCAACCUGGGAACUGCAUUGGUGACUGGGCAGGCUAGAGUAUGGCAGAGGGGGGUAGAAUUCCACGUGUAGCAGUGAAAUGCGUAGAGAUGUGGAGGAAUACCGAUGGCGAAGGCAGCCCCCUGGGCCAAUACGACGCUCAUGCACGAAAGCGUGGGGAGCAAAACAGGAUUAGAUACCCUGGUAGUCCACGCCCUAAACGAUGUCAACUAGUUGUUGGGGAUUCAUUUCCUUAGUAACGUAGCUAACGCGUGAAGUUGACCGCCUGGGGAGUACGGUCGCAAGAUUAAAACUCAAAGGAAUUGACGGGGUCAUAGCUGUUUCCU